UACAGAGGGGGCAAGCGUUGUUCGGAAUUACUGGGCGUAAAGGGCGCGUAGGCGGCCUUCUAAGUCGAACGUGAAAUCCCUGGGCUCAACCCAGGAACUGCGUCCGAUACUGGGAGGCUUGAAUCCGGGAGAGGGGUGCGGAAUUCCAGGUGUAGCGGUGAAAUGCGUAGAUAUCUGGAGGAACACCGGUGGCGAAGGCGGCAUCCUGGACCGGCAUUGACGCUGAGGCGCGAAAGCCAGGGGAGCAAACGGG
RNAcentral lists this ribosomal RNA (253 nucleotides) under uncultured bacterium. RNAcentral's name for it is "partial 16S ribosomal RNA". It matches the Rfam family "Bacterial small subunit ribosomal RNA", at positions 524 to 776 of the family's 1533-position model. The record is from RNAcentral.